Molecule: ribosomal RNA, 467 nt
Filed under: uncultured bacterium
Lineage: Bacteria
Description: bacterial SSU rRNA
Rfam family: Bacterial small subunit ribosomal RNA
Source: RNAcentral
UUAACACAUGCAAGUCGAACGAGGAAUUCGUUCAAAGUUUCGGACGAGACGGAGGUUUCCGAGUGGCGGACGGGUGAGUAACGCGUGGGUAACCUGCCGUAUGCAGGGGGACAACAGCCGGAAACAGCUGCUAAUACCGCAUAAGCCGGCGGGGCCGCAUGGCCCAGCCGGAAAAGAUUUAUCGGCAUACGAUGGACCCGCGUCUGAUUAGCCAGUUGUGGGGUAACGGCCCACCAAAGCGACGAUCAGUAGCCGAACUGAGAGGUUGACCGGCCACAUUGGGACUGAGACACGGCCCAGACUCCUACGGGAGGCAGCAGUGGGGAAUAUUGCACAAUGGGGGGAACCCUGAUGCAAGCAACGCCGCGUGAGUGAAGAAGUAUUUCGGUAUGUAAAGCUCUAUCAGCAGGGAAGAGAAUGACGGUACCUGCAUAAGAAGCCCCGGCUAACUACGUGCCAGCAGCCGC